CCUGCAGAGAAAUCAUUCGAGGCAUUACAGGAAAGUUCAAUUGAAUUAUCAUUGCCAUUUUUUUAAUGUUGACUGGCUUGAAUUAUGAUUUGAACCCUUUUGCUUGUAUGAAUAAUAUUUUUCAGUGAUGAUUCCCAGGAAGCAAUGAGACAAAGCUUUUUGUGAACCAAUAGGAAUUCAGCAGCCAUGUGACAGAGAACGCACACAAAGAAGUUAAGUAACACAUAAAAGCGCUCUACUUUAUCACAUUGUCCAUUGCUGCUUUUUUUCCUCCUGCCUUAAAGGCUUCAUUCUUGAUUAAUCCUUUCCUCGCUUUGUGUUUCUCUUCUCCGCAGAAACAAACUCAAUGGACUCAAAGUUUUGGCUGGGAGGUCUAAUCCUAUUUUCUCUGAUCAGAGUGGCAUGUGGCGGACAAGUUACCAGAAAUGACAUUACCAUUGUUACCACUGGCAAGAGUGGUAACCUGGUUGGCAACAUGAUAGUCCCGCUCCUGCUGUUGUCUUCUACCAUCUUUGUGGCUGUUGCUGAUGUGCAGCCAUGUUCUCUUGGAACCAUUCCUAUAAUUCUUCAUUAAUAAACAAUACAUUGCUGCUA
Molecule: long non-coding RNA, 594 nt
Organism: Syngnathus acus (greater pipefish)
Lineage: Eukaryota; Metazoa; Chordata; Actinopteri; Syngnathiformes; Syngnathidae
Exons: 2
Source: RefSeq, a predicted model, not a curated record